AAAAUGGCCAUCUCUUCAAAGGUCUUCGUCUUCAUCUUAUGCUCUAUCCUUUUAGCAUCGGUUAGUAGUAGCAUUGAGAUAAAGCAGGUAUGCACAUGUGUAAAAGAUCUUGGACCGUGCAAUGAUCGGUGUCAAGCCGACUGUGUUACUUUAUUUGUCCGAAAUCUAGAAAAUGCUUAUUGCACAUCUGGAGUCUGCCAUUGCGCUUUUAGAUGCUCAACAUGUCCUCCGAAAUAAAGUUGGUUCAACAAGUAUUUGUUUGCUAUAAUGUGUCUUAUUUCCUUGAGUUUGAACCAUCUUUAUUAAAUAAAAAAAGUACUCCUCCUAAGAUUUGAGUUUGAUUGUAACAUGUGAUCAUUUUUUUA
Molecule: long non-coding RNA, 365 nt
Organism: Salvia hispanica
Lineage: Eukaryota; Viridiplantae; Streptophyta; Magnoliopsida; Lamiales; Lamiaceae
Source: RefSeq, a predicted model, not a curated record